GGUCCCAUGGUCUAGUGGUUAGGAUAUUGGACUCUGAAUCCAAUAACCCUUGUUCAAAUCUUUGUGGGACCC
Non-coding RNA from Cucurbita pepo subsp. pepo (vegetable marrow), 72 nucleotides. The record is from the annotation of a RefSeq genome assembly. NCBI's taxonomy places the organism in Eukaryota, Viridiplantae, Streptophyta, Magnoliopsida, Cucurbitales, Cucurbitaceae.